Acanthosepion pharaonis is the source of this 87-nucleotide non-coding RNA. Lineage: Eukaryota; Metazoa; Mollusca; Cephalopoda; Sepiida; Sepiidae. The record is from the annotation of a GenBank genome assembly.
GAUUCCAUACAAUCACCGAAGUUAAACAGCGUUGAGACUGGUCAGUACCUAGAUGGGUGACCGCUUGGGAAUACCAGGUACUGUAAG